RNAcentral lists this long non-coding RNA (13799 nucleotides) under Lathyrus oleraceus (garden pea). Its description in RNAcentral is "Pisum sativum (pea) long non-coding RNA (PSAT_LNC030787)". The record is from RNAcentral. Lineage: Eukaryota; Viridiplantae; Streptophyta; Magnoliopsida; Fabales; Fabaceae.
AUAAUAAUAAUAAUAAUAAUAAUAAUAAUAAUAAUAAUAAUAAUAAUAAAUGAAAAAUGGGGCGAUGCAUGUAUUUCUACAAGCUUCCUGAUCAACACACCAAAAACAAGUCAAUAUUAACCUCAUAUUUUCUAAGUUUAAAAACAACCAAUAAUGUGGUAAUAUGUGGCCAUAAUAAUAUUUAAAAUAAAAUAAAAACAUAAAUCUCUCUUCACCAUCACACAUCUUCUUCAUGACAAAACUAACCUUUCUUCUUCAUGAAAUUUUUGUGAGCAAUAUCUAUUUUUCAAACUUAAAAAAAUAAACUGCCUUCUUCAUGAAACUUAAAGCAACACAACAAGUGAAAUGUAUAAAUCUUGAUUUUCAAUCAAAGUACAAAUCAAAACUUAAAACAAAUCAAACUUUCAUUUUUCAGAAAAACAAACUUGAGACAACAAACAUCGACCUUCACCCAUUCACAACAACGAAAGCGAAACUUAACAAAGUCAGAAAUCGAAGGAAAGAAGUGGUAUAACAUGCCUUUCGUCAGAGCUGUACGGAAUUGAUGAGUAGGCGUCGAAGAGCUCGUUGAGUCGGCGUCUAGGUGCCGUAGUUGUUGUUUGUUGUAGUGAUCGGUCGGUGAACGUCGCCGACUUAGAUGUUUGGAGCGACAGAAGGAGUAUUAUAGUAGUGUUGAUGGUUUGUUCUAUGUGGUUUGAUGAAGAUAUUGAGUUGUUGUUGAAGCUUUCAUGAGAUUUGUUGUUGUUUUAAUGGAUUUAGAGGUGAUGGAUAAUGGUGGUUUUAUGAAAUUUUCUUGUAGCAAGGUUUUUUAUAGUUGUUUAGAGAUGAAGAUGGUGAUGAAGAGUAAGUUGUAAUGGUGAUUUUUAUGAUGAGCUAUUGAUGGUGGUGUUUUCUUGAGAGUGAGAAGGAAAUGUGAUGGGUGUUUGCACCAUGUAUUAGUGCAUGAAAGAAGAAAAAACGUGUGUCUUUCAAUUUAAGAGGAAAGAGUUUAUUCUAUUUUCUUUUUAUUGUGGCCCGCGUGUCGCUUCUUCACCGGAGGGAGAUCAUUUAUUUUUUUCUUGAAACAAAUAUUUGCUAUGCUUCCACAUCUCCAUUUCCCUUACCAUUCAUUCUCUAUUGCAAUUGGUAAAAGAUAUCUUCAUGUAACCAAAGAAAUAACGCCACAUGGCACUGAAAGAGAGAGGAUUUUAUCCAAUCUUUUUACUUGAUUUUGGAAUUUAAAAAAUAAAUCUAUCUAAUGAAAUAAAAAUUAAAAGAACAAAUAAAAAAAACAAACUAGGUACUUAAAUAAAUUCUAAUUUAUUCUACUAAUUAUAUUUACUAAAAAAUAAAAAUAAUCAGAUAAAAAAAAAUUCGGGCAAAAAAAUGUUCGAAAAAAUAAAUUAACUGCACCAAAAUUAUCAGCGCGAAAUACACUAUUCGAAAACAUAUAUGUUUUGAUCGAAAUUUUGAAAUAAAAAUUGACCGGUUAAAAGACUCAGGUUGAUCAGAACGCGAUCGAAAAAGUAGUCAAAAAAUUAAAACGAGCAUACUAGGUUAAACUACGCGGAACGUAGAUUAAUAAAACUGACAUCUGCAAGCUCAAAUUUGAAAAUUUCCGCCCGCUAAUUCGUCAUUCAAUUGAGAAACUAUUCGAUCGGUCUCUCUGUAGAUCCGAAAAAUUUAUCUGGCCGAUAUUUCAAGUGUUAUGUGAAACAAAAUGCAUGAUAUGACAAGUAUAAAAAUGUAAACGUCUUCUAAAUGCACUGAAUUUCUAAUUGAAUAAUCGUAAAUGGAUAAUCAUAUGCAAAUGAAUCGCCCUUGGACCAUUUACUUUUGAUUCUCCAUCACAAAUAAAACAUUUCAAAGAUUCAGAUGACGACAAAACUCUUGAUUGUCAUCCUCUGAACCUUUGAAAACACGAUGCAAUGGAAUGAACGAUGCUAUGAGAUUGAGAAAUCAAGUCUUUCGACUUCUUAAUCAAUAGAUAACUGAAUGAAUGUCAUCAAGACCAAUAAACUGCCAAAACUCCAAACUUUUUAUCUAAACCCCAAUGAAUGCUUUUAACUGAUGAAAAUGUAUGACAAAAAUGGAUAAAUUUAUGCUAUGUUUAUGCGAGUGAAAACUCAUGGUAAAAUUUAGGGUAUGCCACAACACACACUCUAUCAUACGCACAUGCUAUUAGGUGACCCAUGUCAAGGAAGCACAUCCAUUUUGCCUCUGGUGCCGGACCGCUAAGGCAAGGAACAAGAGACUCGUAAACUUCAUCGAAUGUUUCUUUCUUUCCGUACAACUGUGUGCAUGAUUCUUUAUACGUCAUGAACUAUUGGAUAAGUUGAUGGAAGACAAGUGUAUGAUUAUCUUCUCAUUUACCGAGUAAAUUCGAAAUUGUUCGAUAACUACAAUUACUACCCCCCGUAACAUUGACGAUUCACUCGAUGUAUUUGUGCAUAAAAACGGGCACCUCGUCGAUGAAUGGAAUUUUUUGUGGAGGCGGCGUAUGAGGUGGUUUGCUAAUGCGAGGUCCUUUGAAAACACUUUUUUGAAAUUUUGGAGUUGGUAAGUCGGGAAAAACUUUGUCAACAUGUUCAAAAAAUGAAGGAGAUCGUGUAGUCGAAUUGUCAUUCAGUGUUGGCUUCAUUUUCUUCGGAGCACCUUUUGUUUUUACCGGUUGAGAUGGUGGUUUCAUGUCGAUGCUUUCCGGAUAGGCAAUCUUCCUCAAUUGUUCUUUGAUGUGGAGUUUCAAGUUGUCACCGACUUUCAAAAGUCUCUCUUGUAUCACUUCUCAUUCGGUCAUAAUAGAGAUAUUCGAUUUACCGUCAUUCAUGACACGAUCAUCAUCAAAUGAGUGCAAACCUCAUCCACUGUUAUUAGGCUACCAAGUUUCACCUUUUUUGCAACAACACAAGCACAUGAGAGACCAUAUGUUUUCACAAUUGUGCAUGCACACUUUGCACUAUCAGAGCCUACAUAUCAGCUCGUUUAGCCUCAUGAAAAGUAUAAUUCAAACCCGCACGAGAAAUGUUAUCGACCAACUGAGAAUAAAGAGUGUUGUCUUUAAAUUUGUAUUCCAAAACUGUGAUGCUCCGAACAAAUGAUGUGUGUAUCUCAUUAUACUGGUUUUGAAUCAUGUGGUACACAUAGUCUCAAUCUCUACACAAACCGCCCUUACUAUUUCCCAACCAAUUUUUCAAAGUAGCAUGGGCAGACUCAACUCUGUUAGUUAUUGUAUUUCUAAGGUGUCUAACAUUAUCAAUCCAUGCACAAACAAUUUUCUUCUUUACCUGGUCAAGAAUUGUGCUUUCAACAUAUUUCAACAAAUCCGGAUACUUUUCAUACACUUUCCUGAAAUGCAUAACAGAAGCGACAUAUAGUUCUUUUAUGAAAGAAAUUAUUAUACGAUUCCAUGCAUCAAUUAUUUUUUCCACAACCAGACCCUCCUUCCCCAUUUUCCCAUCUUCAGACUCUAUUUGAUUCGUCCCUAUGUUAUGUGAUACCUACAAAGUAAUGAAUUAGAGGAAGAAAAUACCUUUACAACCGAUUUCAUCAAGACGGUAUCGCUGUCGGUAACAAUCACUUUAUGCAUCUUACCUUGGUCUUUCAAUAGUGUCUGACACACCUCUAAGGCCUAAGUAAAAUUGUCUUAUUUUUCACACUCAAGAAAUACAAACCCAACUGAAUAUCUCUUCUUAGUUGAUGUAACACCAACCAUCUCCAAUAAUGGAAGUCUAUACUUGUUGGGUUUGUAGGUUGAAUCAAGUAUGAGCAUGGUAGGAAACGUACUGAGCAACUUUAUGGAAUCAGGAUGAGUCCAAAAUAUAUCUCUAACAAUAACUUCAUCCUCGCAAGUUUGGUACCUAGACACGUAAUCGUUAUCAUCCAACAAUUUCAAGAGUUGUUGCAUUUCAAUUAUACCCCCUUAAGCGCCUUGUUAGUUUGAUACCGAAUAUUAUACACUUGCUUGAUAUUUGAUAUAUUUUCGGGUCUUUUCCGUUUCAAUAUUGCAAGUAUAUUUUUCGGUUGAAUCAAAUUCAAUGUCAUGUCAGCAACACAUCCUUUCUCUUUCGGCAUGAGCCGACACACACUAGGAUGACUGGCUAAUUUUUCACAAAAUCAUGGUUAUGCAAACCACAUAUGACAUUAAAUCUCCAGUUUUUAUUUUCCAACAUGUAACCACGCACCUUAAACAAACAUUCACAUUUUCUUGAACCGGUGCCGUCUCUUUUAAAAAUAUGGAGUGGAGUUCUAUAUCUCCAGCUUCUUUCGCACGUCAUUAUCACAAAAGUGCACCUUCUAUCUGAACCGUUAUCGGGCCUUCCAAUAGCCACACUAAAUCAAAGUUUAGAGACCUACAUAUGAAUCCAUUGAAGCAUUUGAUCACAAGAUUCAAACUCUUGCUCAUUUUUAAAUUGGUUCCCAACAUAUACCGCCCUCACAACAACACCUUGGACAUUCGGAGAAACAACUUGUUUUGAGAAAACAUCGGGGUGCACCAUAUCUAAAGAAAAUAAUUACAACAUAUACGCGCCACUGCUGAAAACAAAGUUGGAAAGUGAACACAAAUUAGUUCCAGAAAUGCAUCUCUGAAAAUGUUCAUACUCGUUCUGGAGAUACAUUUUCGGACACAACGCUCAUUUUUUCAAACAAAAUACAUGAUUAAUAUGAGAAAUGCAGUGUGAAAUAAAUGAUCUUUACAUGAAAUUAUAACUUCUUUUGCUCCCUUUGAUAUGAUGAACCACAAGUUUAGAGAUUUGGAGUGAAAAAAUAGAUUGAGAAUGGAAAGGUUUUUGGUAAGGGUUUGUAGAGAAAAACAACAAUGACAAUAAUGGUUGUGUGAUCAUGCAACUGUUUUUUUAUCAGAUUAUUCCGGAGAUGCAUCUCCAGAAAUAUCUCACAUGAAAAGGUGACAAAAUAUUUCAAAAUCCCAUCCAAACUUCCGAAGAUGUAGCUCCAUAAAUUCUACUGAACUGAUCAAUUAUGAAUAUAUUUCUUGAAAUGUUCUGGAGAUGCAUCUCCGGAAUAAAAAUAACCCAACUUAUAGGGCGCCACUCAUAAUGGUGUGUGUGUGUGUAUGUGUGUGUGUGUGUGUGUGUGUGUGUUGUGUAACACCCUUCUAAAAUACCCCAAAUAUUUAAUUAAAAUAACAACAUAUAUCAAUCAGAGUAGAUAUGCAAUUACGGGUGUCACACAAUUACUUCACAACUUGAGUUUGGUGUGUGAGAGAUCACAUAGUGUCAAAUUGGGAAUGUGAAACUAACAAGUGGUAUUUGGAUGAGAUCAGAGAGGUCAGAAAUCUGAUGUGCUUUUGGUUGAUAAGUUGACUUUAGUGAAUCAAGGUCAAGGUGGUGAAUUCAGAGUUGAUGAGAAUGGUAUUUUGAAAUUUGGUAAUCGGGUGUGUAUUCCGGAUGUUGCGAGCUUAAGAAGAGUAUUCUUGAAGAAGGACAUCGUAGUGGUUUGAGUAUUCAUCCUGGAGCUACGAAGAUGUAUCAAUGAUUUGAAGAAGUUGUUUGGUGGCGGGAAUGAAAAGAGAAAUUGCGAGUUUUUGUUUAUUCCUGUUUGACUUGUCAGAAAUCAAAGAUUGAGCAUCAGAAGCCGUCUGGGCUAAUGCAACCGUUGGCUAUUCCAGAGUGGAAGUGGACAGUAUCAGUAUGGAUUUUGUUUGGGUUUACCGAGAACAAGUUAAGAAUUUUGAGGCUAUUUGGGUGAUUGUGGAUAGAUUGACAAAAUCGGCUCAUUUCAUUCCGAUCAGAAUGGAUUAUCCGUUGGAGAGGUUAGCUGAAUUGUAUAUUGAGAAGAUUGUAAGUCUACAUGGUAUCCCGUCGAGUAUUGUUUCGGACAGAGAUCCUAGAUUUACAUCGAGUUUUGGGAAGUUUGCAGAGGCUUUGGGAACUAAGUUGAGAUUAGUCUGCAUAUCAUCCGCAGACUGAUGGUCAGACUGAGAGGACGAUUCAGUCAUUAGAGGAUCUUUUGAGACUGUGUUUUGGAAAGGGAGUGCUUGGGAUUGUUAUUUACCUUUGGUUGAGUUUACUACAACAAUAGUUUUCAUUCGAGUAUUGGUAUGGCACCGUUUGAAGCUUGUGUAUGGUAGGAGAUGUCGACACUUUAUGUUGGUAUGAGUCCGGUGAGAGUGCUGUGGUUGGACCAGAGAUUGUCAACAGACUACUGAAAAGAUUAAGAUGAUUCAGGAUAGAUGAGAAUGCUCAGAGUCGUCAGAAGAGUUAUCAUGAUAGAGGAGAAAGUCCUUGAGUCCAAGAGGAGAUCAUGUGUUUCUUCGUGUACUCCGAUAACUGGUGUUGGUCGAGCCUGAAGUCAAAGAAGCUGACUCCUCGAUUUAUUGGUCCUUAUCAGAUUUUGGAGAGGUAGGGGAGGUAGCCUAUCGUAUCGCUUUACCGCCGUCACUUGCGAAUUGCAUGAUGUUUUUCAUGUGUCUCAUUGAGGAGAUACGUUCAUGAUCCGUCGCAUGUAGUCCAAGUAGAUGAUGUACAGGUGAGAGAUAACCUGACUGUUGAAACAUCACCUAUGAGGAUUGAAGAUCGAGAGUUGAAGCAGUUGCGGGGGUAAAGAGAUUGCCUUAGUGAAGUAGCUUGGGAAGGACCAGCAGGUGGCAAUGUGACUUGGGAACUUGAGAGUCAGAUGAAGGAACUUAUCCAGAGUUGUUCGCUUGAGGUAUGGUUCGAGACGAAAACUCUUUUAGUGGGGAGAGUUGUAACACCCCAAUUAAAAUAAGAUAUUAUUUAAUUUAAAUUAAUAUUUUUUUAUUAAUUUAAUUGAAUAAUUGGAAAUUUGGAUUAUUAUUAUUAUUAUUUUGGAAUAAUAAUUAUUGGAAUAAUUAUUUAUUGGAAUAUAUAAGUUGAAAUAAAAGUCCCAAUUUGGAAAAAAGGUUUUCACGUGAAAAGGAAAAGAGAAGCGGCUGAAAGAGAGAGAAGGGCAAAAGGCAGAGCAAGAGAAGAGGAAAAGCUUGAAGCUGCAGAAUUGCCGGAUUAACUCAGUAAGGGGGUUAUCAUCGGUUAAAGGUAUAUGAUAAUAUGUACUGGUAGUGAUAACCAUUGUUUUACCUCUGAUUAGAUGGAUGCAUGAUGAAUUGUGAAAUAUUGGAUGAAUGAAAUUGGAUGAUAAUUGAAAGGUUUGGUAGGAAUUGGAUGUAAAGUGUUAGAUUUGUGUAAUCGAAUAAGAUAGGAAUUGUGUGGAAAAUAUGGACGAUUAUUUGGUGUAAAUUGGACUGUAGAAGGUUGGAUCGGAUAGGUUUCGUAAUAGAGAAAGUCAUUUGCAGAUCUGGAAAUCUGGUUCUAUAGCAGAGGGUUCUGUUUGCGCGCGAUUCACGCGCGAAGCCAGUGCCGCGAACUGGCAAAUCCAGAGGGUUCUGUAACGCACCGUUCGCGGCGCGAACCCUGCUGCGGCGCCAACUGUGCUGUGCAGAGUUGAUGUUGGAUGGUGAAUUCCUGUGUGGUGGUGAUGCAGUUUUGGCUGUCUAGGCUGAAUGAUGUGACUUAGCUGAGGACCGAUGUAAAGGGAUCAUUUCCCGUUGUUUGAGUGGCAUAGUAUUAGUAGGGUGUGCUAAUACUAUGAUUAAUUUAUGCAUGAUAUGAUAGCUUUCGUGAUGAAAUGUGUUGAUGAUAUGUGAUGGUAUGCAUAAUGCUGUGAAUGUAUCGGUGAUGUAUGCAUAUUAAUAGACUGUUGUAUGGCUUAGAGUGUGAGCAUGUGUCUAUUCUUGAAUUGUUGUUUGUUGUUGCCUUGCUAGAUGAUUAGCGCAUGGCAUAGCCUGUGGGGCUGUAGCUAAUUCCCAUUGUGAGGAAUUAGUGAGUAAAAUAUGGUGGAGUUGUUGUUGAUGUUUGCAUACUAGAUGAGUAGUGUGCAUAGUCUAGCCUUUGGGCUGUAGCUAAUUCCAUGGUGAGGAAUUAGUGAGUGAGUCAUUAGAUCUCAAUGAGUGGGACUAGUGAGCUCAGUAGCCGUAUCCGAGGGAUCGGUGAGCUUGGACUAUAUGUUCAAGAAGAGUUGUACCGCAUUUCAUGGAGUCUCAUUGCAUAAUGAAUGCAGCAUAGCCUGUGGGGCUGUAGCUAUUCCAUUGUGAGAAUUAGUGAGUAAAUCGUUGUGUUGUGUUGUUGGUGUUGAAUAUGGUUUGAGACUAUACAUAGAUAUAUAUUAUUGUUGAGUAUAAUGUUUGCGUUGAUACUGCCGUUAUGGAGUGUGUAGUCUGGUUAGGGUGAUUUGAUGCGUUAUUUACUUAACAUUACAUAAUGUUGUAUAAUGCUUAUUAUAUGAUUGGGAACUCACUUACAACUAUGUUUUUCAGUAACAGCAGUGAGUUGAGUAGAAGCUAGUCCUUGGAGUCUAGUGUCGUCCUUAGUGUCAUGCUCUGGUAGAUGUAACAUCGGGAGGGGAUGUUUUAAUUAUUUUGAUGUUGAUUGUUGAAUAUUUACAUGUACUGUGGUACAUGUUAUUACAUGAUUGAAUUGAUUUUCUAUCCGCUGCGAAUUAUGCAAAAGUGUCCUAUUUUGAUUAAAUAAAUGAGCAUGACAGGAUAUUUGAUGAAUAUUGUGUGACACCCUUCGGGGCAUAUACUCUGAUUGAUAUGUUUAUAUUUAAUUAAAUAUUUGGGGUAUUUUAGAAGGGUGUUACACUAAUCACCUAGCAUGCAAACAUCAACAACAAUCCACAUACCCACAUCACAAUUCCUNNNNNNNNNNNNNNNNNNNNNNNNNCCAUUCACCAUAUAACUGUCAUGCUUUUUAUUAAUUCAAAACAUAAAGCAUUUGCACAAUACGCAGCGGAUAGAGAUAAAUCAAUCAUGCAAACAUGUAGCAUAUACAUGUAAACUGGUUCACAACCAACAAUAAACAUUUAAAACAUCCCAUCCGAUGUUACAUCUACCAGAGCAUGACCACUAAGGAACUACACUAGAUCCACAGCACUAGCUCCUACUCAAUCACUGCUCGUUACCUGAAAAAUAGUGUAAGGGUGAGUCUCAAUCAUAUAUAAGCAUUUAUAAAAUAUCAUGCAAUGUUAAGUAAUUUAACACAUUUCAUCACCCUAAUCAUAACACACAUUCAGUAAACGGCCAAUCACUCAACACUCAUACUCAACACCAACAUAAAGCACAUGUAUAAUCUCAUUCAUACUCACACCAACACAAAACACGUAUAAUAUUGGAAUACAUCAUUCAUAUUAUACGUCAUACAUACAUUAUGCAAUGAGACUCCAUGCAUCGCGUACGACUAUUCGUGAACAUAUAGUUCAACCUCACCGAUCAAAUCCAGAUACGGCUACAAGUCACUAGUCCCACUCAUUUGACCUAGUGACUCACUCACUAAUUCCUCACAUGGUAUAGCUACCACCCAAGGCUAUUGAUAUGCACCGCUAAUGUAACACCCCAAUAAAAUAAGAUAAUUAUUUAAUUUAAUUAAUAAUUUAUUUAUUAAUUUAAUUGAAUAAUUGGAAAUUGGAUUAUUAUUUUAUUAUUUUGGAAUAAUAAUUAUUGGAUAUUAUUUAUUGGAAUAUAUAAGUUGGAAUAAAAAGUCCCAAUUUGGAAAAAAAGGUUUUCACGUGAAAGGAAAAGAGAAGCGGCUGAAAGAGAGAAAGGGCAAAAGGCAGAGCAAGAGAAGAGGAAAGCUUGAAGCUGCAGAUUUGCCGGAUUAACUCAGGUAAGAGGGGUUUAUCAUCGGUUAAAGGUAUUAUAUGAUAAUAUGUACGGUGGGUAGUGAUAACCAUUGUUUUACCUCUGAUUAGAUGAUGCAUGAUGAAUUGUGAAAUAUUGGAUGAAUGAAAUUGGAUGAUAAAUGAAAGGGUUGGUAGGAAUUGGAUGUAAAGUGGUUAGUUUUGUGUAAAUCGAAGAUAGGAAUUGUGUGGAAAAUAUGGACGAUUAUUUGGUGUAAAUUGGACUGUAGGAAGGUUGGAUCGGAUAGGUUCGUAAUAGAGAAAGCAUUGCAGAUCUGGAAAUCGGCUUCUGUAGCAGAGGUCUGUUUGCGCGGAUUCGCGGCGCCGAACUGGCAAAUCCAGAGGGGUCUGCUAACGCACGUCGCGGCGCGAACCCUGCUGGCGGCCGCGAACUGUGCUGUGCAGAAGUUGAUGUUGGAUGGUGAAUUCGUGUGGUGGUGAUGCAGUUUUUGGCUGUCUAGCUGAAUGAUGUGACUUAGCUGAGGACCGAUGUAAUAGGAUCAUUUCCCGUUUUUGAGUGGCAUAGUAUUAGUAGGUGUGCUAAUACUAUGUUAAUUAUAUGCAUGUAUUGAUAUGCUUUCGUGAUGAAAGUGUUGAUGAUAUGUGAUGGUAUGCAAUAUGCUGUGAAUGUAUCGGUGAUGUAUGCAUUAUUAAUGACUGUUGUAUGGCUUAGAGUGUGAGCAUGUGUCUAUUCUUGAAUUGUGUUGUUGUUGUGCCUUGCUAGAUGUUAGCAUGCAUGCAUAGCCUGUGGGGCUGUAGCUAAUUCCCAUUGGUGAGGAAUUAGUGAAGUAAAAUAUGGUGGAGUUUUGUUGAUGUUUGCAUACUAGAGAGUAUGUGCAUGUCUAGCCUUUGGGCUGUAGCUAAUUCCAUGGUGAGAUUAGUGAGUGAGUCAUUAGAUCUCAAUGAUGGGACUAGUGAGCUCAGUAGCCGUAUCCGGAGGAUCGGUGAGCUUGGACUAUAUGUUCAAGAAGAGUUGGUACCCGCAUUUCAUGGAGUCUCAUUGCAUAAUGAAUGCAUGGCAUAGCCUGUGGGGCUGUAGCUAAUUCCAUUGUGAGGAAUUAAUGAGUAAAUCGUUGUGUUGUGUUGUUGGUGUUGAAUAUGGUUGAGACUAUACAUAUGAUAUAAUUUAUUUUGAGUAUAAUGUUUGCGUUGAUACUGCCGUUAUGGAGUGUGUAGUCUGGUUAGGUGAUUUGAUGCGUAUUUACUUAACAUUACAUAAUGUUGUAUAAUGCUUAUUAUAUUGAUUGAGAACUCACCCUUACAACUAUGUUUUUCAGGUAACGAGCAGUGAGUUGAGUAGAAGCUAGUCCUUGGAGUCUAGUGUCGUCCUUAGUGGUCAUGCUCUGGUAGAUGUAACAUCGGAGGGGAUGUUUAAUUAUUUUGAUGUUGAUUGUUGAAUAAUUUACAUGUACUGUGGUACAUGUUAUUACAUGAUUGAAUUGAUUUUCUAUCCGCUGCGAAUUAUGCAAAAGUGUCCUAUUUUGAUUAAAUAAAUGAGCAUGACAGGAUAUUUGAUGAAUAUUGUGUGACACCCUUCGGGCUAAUUACUCUGAUUGAUAUGUUUAUUAUUUAAUUAAAUAUUUGGGGUAUUUUAGAAGGGUGUUACAUAGUGGUAUCGAGCAUAGUCGGCGAGUCGAGUCGUAUUAUUCUGUUCUGUACGGGAUAGGUGUUGUGUAACCCAUAGUAUUAUUGUUAGCUUGUGGUGUUUUCAGAUAGAGAUGGCUGGAAGAGGUAGAGAUGAUGCUGGAUUGCUGAGGCUCUGGGUAUGCUAGCUGGAUACUUGGAGGAAUCCGAAUGUUGUGGGAAUGGGAGCUGCUCGUCACUGAGUGAGUUCCAGAAGAACAAUCCUCCAUGUUCAAGGGCGCAUACGACCAAGAGGUGCUCAGAAGUGGUUGAAGGAGAUAGAGAGGAUCUUCCGAAGUGACUGAGUGUGCGAUAACCAGAAGGUCAGGUUUCGGUACGCAUAUGCUGUCAGAGGAAGCUGAUGAUUGGUGGGUUGCUACCCGCACUGAGUGGAAACUGCUGGGAAUGCGUGAAUCACUUGGGCUGUGUUCAGAGAGAGAUUCCUGAGGAAGUAUUUUCCAGAGGAUGUUAGGGAAAGAAAGAGAUAGAGUUCUUGGAAUUGAAGCAGGGUAACAGGUCUGUUACUGAGUAUGCUGCUAAGUUCACAGAGCUGUCGAAGUAUUACUCCUAUAAUGAGGCUGCUGCGAGAAUUUUCGAAAUGUGUGAAGUUGAGGAACGGGUUGCGUCUGAGAUCAAGCAGGCUAUUGUAUCAGGGAUCGAGUGUUUUCUGAUUGGUUGACUGUUGCAGGAUUUUUGAACAGGAUUCCAAGGCCAGAGCUGAGAGCUAUCAGCAGAGGUUGAUAGGAAAGCAAGAAUCAGAUUGAUCGUGGAAACCGUAUGCAGCUGGCAAAGGUUUUCAGAGACAGAGUGGGAUGAAGAAGCUAGUGGGGGAGACUCUAGUGCUCCUGUUAAGUGUUACAGAAUGUGCUCGGGCUGGACAUCGUGUUCAUGAGUGUACCAGUGCUGAGAUGAAGUGUUUCAAGUGGGAAAGGUGGUCAUUUGGCUGCCAGUAUGCGGUUGAAGACUGUGAUUGUUUCAACUGUGGAGAGUGGGUCAUAUCAUCGCAGUGUCCUAAGCCGAAGAAAGAGAAUCAGUCGGGAGCAAGGUUUUUGCUUAUCGGGUUCUGAGACUUCUGCAAUGUCGUGAUCGGUACGUGUUAUAUUAAUGGCUCUUCCUCUUGUAGCUAUUAUUGACAGGGUGCGACUCAUUCUUUUAUAUCUUGGAUUGUGCUGUAACUUAGUUAGAGAUAUCUGAGAUGUUUGUAGUAUGGUGUAUGAUACUCCUGCGAAGGGUUCAGUGACUUACUACGUCAGUUUGUUUAAAUUGUCCUUAGUAUUUUUGGUAGAGACUUGGAUAGACUUUGUGUCUUCCAUUAGUGCCAGAUUGAUGUUAUCCUGGGUAUGAACUGGUUGGUGUUUACGAUUUAUAUCAAUUUUUUGAUAGACUGUGAUCUUUCUGAGAUUGAGGAAGGAAGAGUUUGUUUCUAUCAGCGAGGCACGUGUGAAUGAGGAGUAGCUGAUGGGGCCAGAGCUGUUUAUGCUGUUAGCGACUUUGGAAGCUAAAGAUAAACUAGUGUUGGCGAUCUCGUGUGGUGUGUGAUUUCCUGAUCGUGUUCCGGAAGAAGUGAAUGUUACACCAGAGCGUGAAGUUGAGUUUCGAUUGAUUUGGUACCGUACUAGACCGAUAUCGAUGGCUCUGUACGUAUGUCUGCUGUGAGUUAGCUGAAUUGAAAUCAGUUUGGAAUUUGUGGAUAAGAAAUUUAUUCGUCCGAGUGUGUCACGUGGGUGCACCAGUGUUGUUGGUUAAGAGAAAGAAGUACAUGAGAUUGUUGUGUGGAUACAGGCAACUGAAUAAGUGACUAUCUAAGAAUCGUAUCUUUGCCGAGGAUUGAUGAUUGAUGGAUCAGUUUGUUGUGCGAGUGUGUUCAGCAAGAUAGAUUUGAGAUCUGGUAUCAUCAGAUACGUGUGAAACUGAGGAUAUUCAGAAGACUGCUUUCAGAACAAGGUAUGGACUAUGAGUUUCGGUGAUGCCUUUUGGUGUGACUAAUGCGGGAGUAUUCAUGGAGUAUAUGAAUAGAUUUUCCAUCCGUACCUAGAUCGUUUGUUGUGGUGUUUAUUGAUGACAUUUUGGUGUAUUCGAAAUCUGAGAAGAGCAUGCUGAACAUUGAGAGUGGUGUUGGAGUUCUACGAGAAAGAAGUUAUUUGCUAAACUGUCAAGGGUGAAUUUUGGUUAGAAGAGGUUAGUUUUCUUUGGUCAUGUAAUUUCAAGAGGUGGUGUUGCUGUUGAUCCUUCUAGAUAGAAGCGGUAUCUAAGUGGGAAGCUCCGAAGUCAGUUUCUGAGAAGAAGUUUCUUGGACUUGCAGGUUAUUAUUAGGAGUUCAUUGAUGGGAUUCUCUAAGUUGGUUACCGUUGACGAUGUUGACUAGAAAGGCGCACGUUUGUUUGGGACUCAAAUGUGAGAAGGUUUCCAAGAGUUAAGAAAAGGAAGUUAAACUCUGCUCUCUAUCCUGAUAUUACGAGUUCGUCGGAACUAUUUUGGGUUUAUUGUGAUGCUUCAUUGCUGGUUUAGUGGUGUGUUGAUGCAAAUAAGCAGGUUAGCUUAUGCUC